This 253-nucleotide ribosomal RNA is filed under the name Bilophila wadsworthia. Its description in RNAcentral is "partial 16S ribosomal RNA". It matches the Rfam family "Bacterial small subunit ribosomal RNA", at positions 548 to 776 of the family's 1533-position model. Lineage: Bacteria; Pseudomonadati; Thermodesulfobacteriota; Desulfovibrionia; Desulfovibrionales; Desulfovibrionaceae. The record is from RNAcentral.
UCCUUCGUUUUCCAUCUUUCCUCUGAAUCACUGGGCGUAAAGCGCACGUAGGCGGCCUGGUAAGUCAGGGGUGAAAUCCCACAGCCCAACUGUGGAACUGCCUUUGAUACUGCCAGGCUUGAGUACCGGAGAGGGUGGCGGAAUUCCAGGUGUAGGAGUGAAAUCCGUAGAUAUCUGGAGGAACACCGGUGGCGAAGGCGGCCACCUGGACGGUAACUGACGCUGAGGUGCGAAAGCGUGGGUAGCAAACAGG